AUAUUCACCGUAAAAUAGGGUGGUAAUGGAUGAAAUUCGUCCAUUGGCAAGCGACGUUCGACUGACUGCAACAUUCAUUGCGAGUAUGAUUAAGACGUGAAAAAAGUUUUUAUCGAGUUUCGUAGUCUAUUGCCAAAAGCCAACUCUGUCAAACUUCGUCGCUAGCACUGAAGGAAUUCGUCUACUGCUGAAUCAACAGGGUGCCGUGCGUUUGUCGCAGUUCUGGGAAGAAAACUCCUAUUGCAUAGGAUAGAAGAUGAAAUCGUGGUAUCUAGUCAUAUUGGUCCUCAGCGCAGCAGUAAUGUCCGUGACUGCACAGCAAUAUGUCGCUCACUAUAAUUGCAACGACGGAGGGCGUUAUUUUGUAAGCGACGGUAACUGGAUUGGAACUGCUUCAUCAGCUGCAGAAGCUAGGUGUACUGCUGUUCAAACUACAUUGGUGACAAUGUCUGAUAUCGCUGGAACAUGUUCUCAGUCCUAUAUCGCUUAUAUCACCACCAAUCUGAAAAGAUCCGUUUCUGUUUGGGUGUCGGACGGAAGCGGAGGUGUUACUUGCUAUCCUAAAGUGACACCAUGCCCAGCCGCUGAUGUUGUCAUGUGUAUAAACACCAGACUUGAUGCAGUUUCACCACCAAGUCAACACUGUGGUACCGCAUUAUCUCCUGUAGCUAACGGAACUAUCACCUAUCCAAGUGGAGACGUGUUUCCGUCGCAGGCCUUUC
Sycon ciliatum is the source of this 722-nucleotide long non-coding RNA. RefSeq lists it as uncharacterized. The transcript is spliced from 4 exons. NCBI's taxonomy places the organism in Eukaryota, Metazoa, Porifera, Calcarea, Leucosolenida, Sycettidae. The record is from RefSeq and is a predicted model, not a curated record.